This 70-nucleotide transfer RNA is filed under the name Klebsiella pneumoniae. RNAcentral describes it as "tRNA-Lys". It matches the Rfam family "tRNA". Rfam says of the family: Transfer RNA (tRNA) molecules are approximately 80 nucleotides in length. The record is from RNAcentral. RNAcentral also lists the same sequence under 5 other names. Lineage: Bacteria; Pseudomonadati; Pseudomonadota; Gammaproteobacteria; Enterobacterales; Enterobacteriaceae.
GGGUCGUUAGCUCAGUUGGUAGAGCAGUUGACUUUUAAUCAAUUGGUCGCAGGUUCGAAUCCUGCACGAC